This 548-nucleotide ribosomal RNA is filed under the name uncultured Glomeromycotina. RNAcentral describes it as "SSU rRNA". It matches the Rfam family "Eukaryotic small subunit ribosomal RNA", at positions 548 to 1097 of the family's 1831-position model. The record is from RNAcentral. Lineage: Eukaryota; Fungi; Glomeromycota.
UUGGAGGGCAAGUCUGGUGCCAGCAGCCGCGGUAAUUCCAGCUCCAAUAGCGUAUAUUAAAGUUGUUGCAGUUAAAAAGCUCGUAGUUGAAUUUCGGGGUCAGUAGGCUGGUCGUGCCUCAGGUACGUACUGGUCUUACUGAUUCCUCCUUCCUGACGAACCGUAAUGCCAUUAAUUUGGUGUUGCGGGGAAUCUGGACUGUUACUUUGAAAAAAUUAGAGUGUUUAAAGCAGGCUAACGCUUGAAUACAUUAGCAUGGAAUAAUGAAAUAGGACGUUCGAUCUUAUUUUGUUGGUUUCUAAGAUUGACGUAAUGAUUAAUAGGGAUAGUUGGGGGCAUUAGUAUUCAAUUGUCAGAGGUGAAAUUCUUGGAUUUAUUGAAGACUAACUACUGCGAAAGCAUUUGCCAAGGAUGUUUUCAUUAAUCAAGAACGAAAGUUAGGGGAUCGAAGACGAUCAGAUACCGUCGUAGUCUUAACCAUAAACUAUGCCGACUAGGGAUCGGAUGAUGUUAAUUUUUUAAUGACUCAUUCGGCGCCUUACGGGAAA